RNAcentral lists this long non-coding RNA (200 nucleotides) under Elaeis guineensis (African oil palm). RNAcentral describes it as "long non-coding RNA (EGUI_LNC059057)". The record is from RNAcentral. Lineage: Eukaryota; Viridiplantae; Streptophyta; Magnoliopsida; Arecales; Arecaceae.
UUAAGAUGAUAGACAUAUCAAAUAUAGAUCGUUGUGUGCUAUAUAGGUUGGUUGGCCUCUUAACCAAGGAGCGUGGAGAUGCUGGUAUGGUAUGCAGGUGAAAUAUAGGAGUACAUUUCACUGAAUGUGAUCAACUCCAGAGUACUCUGCUAUCAAGAGUCACUCUGAAAGGAUAUAGGUAUAAAUAUCCCUCCGACCAG